This 301-nucleotide ribosomal RNA is filed under the name uncultured bacterium. RNAcentral's name for it is "partial 16S ribosomal RNA". It matches the Rfam family "Bacterial small subunit ribosomal RNA", at positions 509 to 807 of the family's 1533-position model. The record is from RNAcentral.
CAGUCGCCACGGGAAUACAGAGGGUGCGAGCGUUAAUCGGAUUUACUGGGCGUAAAGCGUGCGUAGGCGGCUUCUUAAGUCGGAUGUGAAAUCCCUGAGCUUAACUUAGGAAUUGCAUUCGAUACUGGUUAGCUAGAGUGUGGGAGAGGAUGGUAGAAUUCCAGGUGUAGCGGUGAAAUGCGUAGAGAUCUGGAGGAAUACCGAUGGCGAAGGCAGCCAUCUGGCCUAACACUGACGCUGAGGUACGAAAGCAUGGGGAGCAAACAGGAUUAGAUACCCCAGUAGUCCCUGUCUCUUAUAC